This 492-nucleotide ribosomal RNA is filed under the name uncultured bacterium. Its description in RNAcentral is "partial 16S ribosomal RNA". It matches the Rfam family "Bacterial small subunit ribosomal RNA", at positions 29 to 507 of the family's 1533-position model. The record is from RNAcentral.
AGUGAACGCUGGCGGUAGGCCUAACACAUGCAAGUCGAACGGCAGCACAGUAAGAGCUUGCUCUUACGGGUGGCGAGUGGCGGACGGGUGCGGAAUACAUCGGAAUCUACUUUUUCGUGGGGGAUAACGUAGGGACACUUACGCUAAUACCGCAUACGACCUACGGGUGAAAGCAGGGGAUCUUAGGACCUUGCGCGAUCGAAUGAGCCGAUGUCGGAUUAGCUAGUUGGCGGGGUAAAGGCCCACCAAGGCGACGAUCCGUAGCUGGUCUGAGAGGAUGAUCAGCCACACUGGAACUGAGACACGGUCCAGACUCCUACGGGAGGCAGCAGUGGGGAAUAUUGGACAAUGGGCGCAAGCCUGAUCCAGCCAUACCGCGUGGGUGAAGAAGGCCUUCGGGUUGUAAAGCCCUUUUGUUGGGAAAGAAAAGCAGCAGGUUAAUACCCCGCUGUUCUGACGGUACCCAAAGAAUAAGCACCGGCUAACUUCGUG